UUUAUUUUCUUUUGUGUAAAAGACGCUCAGACGGCACUGUUACAACUUGAGGUUUUGGAAAAUGCCGGCGGGCUCGCGACGUGAGCCGCUGCGCCCGCCGAAGUAAGGAGGGUGGUAAGCAAAGGGUUGGGGAGAGCGAGGCGCCCGGGGGCGGUCCUCGUCUGAUACUCCUUAAUGAUCCUUCCGCAGGUUCACCUACGGAAA
Molecule: unclassified non-coding RNA, 204 nt
Filed under: uncultured fungus
Lineage: Eukaryota; Fungi
Description: sequence contains ITS1
Source: RNAcentral